GCCUUUGUGGUGUAAUGGUCAGCACACUCGACGGGUAUUCGAGAGGUCCGAGGUUCGAGUUCCGGGAAGGGCA
Molecule: transfer RNA, 73 nt
Filed under: Stegodyphus mimosarum
Lineage: Eukaryota; Metazoa; Arthropoda; Arachnida; Araneae; Eresidae
Rfam family: tRNA
About the family: Transfer RNA (tRNA) molecules are approximately 80 nucleotides in length. Their secondary structure includes four short double-helical elements and three loops (D, anti-codon, and T loops).
Source: Rfam by way of RNAcentral